GAUCAUUAGUGAAUUUGUAGGGCCUGCCAUACGGAUGCGCAAGCGUCUCUGGCGCCCAACCCACUAUACAUCCACAAACCCGUGUGCACUUGUGUUGCUUUGGCCUGUAUGGGCGAGCGCACGCAUUCAAACAAACUCGUAUGGUUGUAUGUACGUUGUAAACGUUGGACCGUCACUGGCCAACAAACUUUAUACAACUUUCGACAACGGAUCUCUUGGUUCUCCCAUCGAUGAAGAACGCAGCGAAACGCGAUAGGUAAUGUGAAUUGCAGAAUUCCGUGAAUCAUCGAAUCUUUGAACGCACCUUGCGCUCCAUGGUAUUCCGUGGAGCAUGCCUGUUUGAGUGCCGCGAAUUCUCCCACCCCAAACGGUUGCCGAAAGGUACUGUGCGGCGGAGGGGUUGGAUGGGUGCUACUGCCUGUGGUGGGGAAACUACAACAGGCUCGCCCGAAAUGCAUUAGCGCCUCAGGACACAUUCGCUACUGCUCUACAAAAGGAAGAGCAGCGAAGCGUAUGGGGGGGAAAACCACCACCGGUUAUUCCAAACCUCGCCUGACUGUUUUUGCGCGCAUGGCAUGAUACGUCAUUUGCUGUGUUGCGUAGGUUGGUGCGUGGGACUGUGUGAGUGCCUCUAGAGCUUUGAGAAGUGUGUUUCGUGUGCUACGAACUGAAAAAGUACAUUCCUUUUUUUUCAAUUCUGGUCUCAAAUCA
This 711-nucleotide unclassified non-coding RNA is filed under the name Malassezia pachydermatis. RNAcentral describes it as "sequence contains 18S rRNA gene, ITS1, 5.8S rRNA gene, ITS2, 28S rRNA gene". The stretch from base 196 to 349 matches the Rfam family "5.8S ribosomal RNA". The record is from RNAcentral. Lineage: Eukaryota; Fungi; Basidiomycota; Malasseziomycetes; Malasseziales; Malasseziaceae.